This 208-nucleotide ribosomal RNA is filed under the name uncultured bacterium. RNAcentral's name for it is "partial 16S ribosomal RNA". It matches the Rfam family "Bacterial small subunit ribosomal RNA", at positions 568 to 775 of the family's 1533-position model. The record is from RNAcentral.
CGCGUAGGCGGUCUUGCAAGUCCCGUGUGAAAUCCCUCGGCUCAACUGAGGAACUGCACGGGAAACUGCUUGGCUUGAGUUCGGGAGAGGGAAGCGGAAUUCCGGGUGUAGCGGUGAAAUGCGUAGAUAUCCGGAGGAACACCGGUGGCGAAGGCGGCUUCCUGGACCGACACUGACGCUGAGGCGCGAAAGCUAGGGGAGCAAACGG